Molecule: long non-coding RNA, 1354 nt
Filed under: Gossypium barbadense (sea-island cotton)
Lineage: Eukaryota; Viridiplantae; Streptophyta; Magnoliopsida; Malvales; Malvaceae
Description: long non-coding RNA (GBAR_LNC010094)
Source: RNAcentral
UACGCAUAUACAUCAGGACUCAAAAAGUCAUAAAGAAAAGUGCAAAUCGAAUUCAAAGUAAAUACAAAGCAGAGAAGAAAAGUAAAGAAAGAACAAAAAAAAAAAGCCGACCAUUAGAACCACUUUCUCCCAAAAAACUCAAUAUAAAGAACCAACUAAAACUCUCCAAUCUCUGGAAACCAAGAAUGCAUGAAGCCAUCAACAAAAUCCAAUAGAGAGUGGAGCUUCAGUGUCAUCAUCGGAGUGAAGUAUAAAAUUUCCCAUGAACCAAAGCCAAAACAACCUAGGGCAAAAAGGAAUAGUUUGACUUAUCUAUCUCCGCGACUCACUCCACCAUCUCUAGUGCUUCCUCAAUCCAGAAUCGUUCCUUAGGAUAGCGACACCCCUCCUUAGCCAAGGUGUGAGUCGCAGUAUUUGCUUCUCUCUUAACAUGAUGGAAAGUAAUCUGCUCAAGAAAACCCAACAUGUGUUUGAUAUCAACUAUAAUUGGACUGAGAACUGAUCUAUCAUUCGUGUUUGUAUGUAAUUUCUUUAUAAUCAUCAAUGGAUCCCCCUCAAUCUAGACGUGGUGGAAACCAAUCUCCUGCGCAAACCGAAUUGCUUACUCGCAUGCCCAAGCUUCCACAAAAAGGCAUCUGCAAUAUUAGUACAAGGGUAAGUACAAGCCCCCAAAAUCAGCCAUUUUCCAUUUCUUGCAAUAAUUCCUGAGAUAGAUGUUUUCUCUUGAAGAUUAAAAGAUGAAUUAAAGUUAAAUUUAAUAAAGUCCGGACUAGGUGGUCUUCAAUAAAUUUGUGUAGUGGGGUAACUACGGUAUCGUGCUGUUUCUAGGGCUUCGAUUUAGUAAGGUAGCCUAAAAUGAACACUACUAAAUCAUUCAUUGUUUGUCUUAUACCCUCAUGGAUUAUUUUAUUUCGUGCCAACCAAAUAGACCAAACAAUUAGAGUCACCAAUUUUCUAUUUCUGUCAUCUGUUGUUUGGAAAACCUCUACUAACCAAGAUUUGUAAUCUAGAUGAUUCGACAUAGGGGGCACUAUAAUUUGCAAAAAUGUCAAAAUCUGGCUUGUUACUGAGCAGAAACCUAGCAGGUGAUCAAUAGAUUCCAAAUCUAUUUGACAUAAUAGACAAAGAACAUGAAUAGUAAUAUGACGUUUGUUUAGAUUAGCAUACAUAGGUAUAAAAUCAUUGUAUAUUUUCCACGUUGUAAUUUUAAUCUUAUCUGGAAGUUGUAAUGCCCAUAAAUUCGAGAAGAAAUUAUUUGCAAAGGUAGUCAUAUGAGUAGGCAAUUUUUUUUGUAGUUCAGAGUUUCCAUGUACAAGUAGCUUGUCACCAAUCUUUACUAUAUACACCCUCGAUU